RNAcentral lists this ribosomal RNA (1362 nucleotides) under uncultured bacterium. RNAcentral describes it as "bacterial SSU rRNA". It matches the Rfam family "Bacterial small subunit ribosomal RNA", at positions 28 to 1381 of the family's 1533-position model. The record is from RNAcentral.
AUUGAACGCUGGCGGCAGGCCUAACACAUGCAAGUCGAACGGUAACAGGAAGAAGCUUGCUUCUUUGCCGACGAGUGGCGGACGGGUGAGUAAUGUCUGGGAAACUGCCUGAUGGAGGGGGAUAACUACUGGAAACGGUAGCUAAUACCGCAUAACGUCGCAAGACCAAAGAGGGGGACCUUCGGGCCUCUUGCCAUCGGAUGUGCCCAGAUGGGAUUAGCUAGUAGGUGGGGUAACGGCUCACCUAGGCGACGAUCCCUAGCUGGUCUGAGAGGAUGACCAGCCACACUGGAACUGAGACACGGUCCAGACUCCUACGGGAGGCAGCAGUGGGGAAUAUUGCACAAUGGGCGCAAGCCUGAUGCAGCCAUGCCGCGUGUAUGAAGAAGGCCUUCGGGUUGUAAAGUACUUUCAGCGGGGAGGAAGGGAGUAAAGUUAAUACCUUUGCUCAUUGACGUUACCCGCAGAAGAAGCACCGGCUAACUCCGUGCCAGCAGCCGCGGUAAUACGGAGGGUGCAAGCGUUAAUCGGAAUUACUGGGCGUAAAGCGCACGCAGGCGGUUUGUUAAGUCAGAUGUGAAAUCCCCGGGCUCAACCUGGGAACUGCAUCUGAUACUGGCAAGCUUGAGUCUCGUAGAGGGGGGUAGAAUUCCAGGUGUAGCGGUGAAAUGCGUAGAGAUCUGGAGGAAUACCGGUGGCGAAGGCGGCCCCCUGGACGAAGACUGACGCUCAGGUGCGAAAGCGUGGGAGCAAACAGGAUUAGAUACCCUGGUAGUCCACGCCGUAAACGAUGUCGACUUGGAGGUUGUGCCCUUGAGGCGUGGCUUCCGGAGCUAACGCGUUAAGUCGACCGCCUGGGGAGUACGGCCGCAAGGUUAAAACUCAAAUGAAUUGACGGGGGCCCGCACAAGCGGUGGAGCAUGUGGUUUAAUUCGAUGCAACGCGAAGAACCUUACCUGGUCUUGACAUCCACGGAAGUUUUCAGAGAUGAGAAUGUGCCUUCGGGAACCGUGAGACAGGUGCUGCAUGGCUGUCGUCAGCUCGUGUUGUGAAAUGUUGGGUUAAGUCCCGCAACGAGCGCAACCCUUAUCCUUUGUUGCCAGCGGUCCGGCCGGGAACUCAAAGGAGACUGCCAGUGAUAAACUGGAGGAAGGUGGGGAUGACGUCAAGUCAUCAUGGCCCUUACGACCAGGGCUACACACGUGCUACAAUGGCGCAUACAAAGAGAAGCGACCUCGCGAGAGCAAGCGGACCUCAUAAAGUGCGUCGUAGUCCGGAUUGGAGUCUGCAACUCGACUCCAUGAAGUCGGAAUCGCUAGUAAUCGUGGAUCAGAAUGCCACGGUGAAUACGUUCCCGGGCCU